GUGUACAUGUGAGAAUCUCAAGACAAAUUAUGAAGGUAGAAAAUGCAUUGGAAAUAUGGCAACCACCAUCUCUCUUCUCUUUAAUUUUUUUACCUUCAACGAGCUAAGUGCAUGGAGAAAUAUUAUUGGGUUUGAUUUCCGUGUGAUGAGAGAGAAUCAAUUUUUCUUUACUCUAAAGUGUUUUGAAAAAAGAGAACUACACUUUUUUGUGGACAGAUUUUCAAGCUAAACGUAUACUUAUUUUGAAGAUGAGGCAGGUGGUCAUCAACGUAUACUUAUUUCCGUGUGACGAGAGACAAUCAAUUUUCUUUACUCAAAAGUGUUUUGAAAAGAGAGGGGUACAUUUUUUUUUUACAAAUUUUGAAUCUAAACGUAUAGUACUUAUUUUGAAGGGAGACGGGGGUGGUCACCAACGGCACCCAUGGAAGGCGUUGUAGUCUUGCAGAAGCACCAUCAUCGUUGUCAUCUUAUUCUUUUUUCACGU
Molecule: long non-coding RNA, 484 nt
Filed under: Brachypodium distachyon (stiff brome)
Lineage: Eukaryota; Viridiplantae; Streptophyta; Magnoliopsida; Poales; Poaceae
Description: long non-coding RNA (BDIS_LNC000601)
Source: RNAcentral